GAACGCUGGCGGCAUGCUUUACACAUGCAAGUCGAACGGUAACAGCSCUUCGGUGGCUGACGAGUGGCGAACGGGUGAGUAAUACAUCGGAACGUGCCUAGUAGUGGGGGAUAACUACUCGAAAGAGUAGCUAAUACCGCAUGAGAUCUAAGGAUGAAAGCAGGGGACCUUCGGGCCUUGCGCUACUAGAGCGGCUGAUGGCAGAUUAGGUAGUUGGUGGGAUAAAAGCUUACCAAGCCGACGAUCUGUAGCUGGUCUGAGAGGACGACCAGCCACACUGGGACUGAGACACGGCCCAGACUCCUACGGGAGGCAGCAGUGGGGAAUUUUGGACAAUGGGCGCAAGCCUGAUCCAGCAAUGCCGCGUGCAGGAUGAAGGCCUUCGGGUUGUAAACUGCUUUUGUACGGAACGAAAAGCCCUCUUCUAAUACAGGAGGGUCAUGACGGUACCGUAAGAAUAAGCACCGGCUAACUACGU
This 478-nucleotide ribosomal RNA is filed under the name Comamonas testosteroni. RNAcentral describes it as "bacterial SSU rRNA". It matches the Rfam family "Bacterial small subunit ribosomal RNA", at positions 31 to 506 of the family's 1533-position model. The record is from RNAcentral. Lineage: Bacteria; Pseudomonadati; Pseudomonadota; Betaproteobacteria; Burkholderiales; Comamonadaceae.